This 82-nucleotide ribosomal RNA is filed under the name uncultured bacterium. RNAcentral's name for it is "partial 16S ribosomal RNA". The record is from RNAcentral.
CUUUGUACGGAACGAAACGGUUCUUUCUAAUAAAGAGAGCUAAUGACGGUACCGUAAGAAUAAGCACCGGCUAACUACGUGC